Xiphias gladius (swordfish) is the source of this 149-nucleotide long non-coding RNA. RefSeq lists it as uncharacterized. The record is from RefSeq and is a predicted model, not a curated record. Lineage: Eukaryota; Metazoa; Chordata; Actinopteri; Istiophoriformes; Xiphiidae. The transcript has 3 exons.
CUACGACAUCAGAAGACCACAUGAGGUUCCACUACUGUCAGCCAAGAACAGAAAUCUUGAUCCCCCCAGUCACCAGAUCCGAUAGAACACCUUUCACCUAAGUGAAACAGUGAACCCCAAAGUGCUCCCAGAAUCACAGAGAAAAUCUG